Molecule: long non-coding RNA, 660 nt
Organism: Cyprinus carpio (common carp)
Lineage: Eukaryota; Metazoa; Chordata; Actinopteri; Cypriniformes; Cyprinidae
Exons: 2
Source: RefSeq, a predicted model, not a curated record
UGGUUUAUGGUGGGUUGGAGAGCUGGAUGGAGCUAUUGGCAUAGUCCCCAAGGAGUUUUUACACCCUGCUUAUAUUCUAUGAGGUUUGCGUUUUGUGAAGAUCACAGAAUGUUCAGCGUUAUAACACUUGAACACCUGUCAUGGUUUGAAAAGUGUCUGAUUAGAUUAGAUUAGAUUGUGAAUUCAAGUAAAAUGGCAUUUUAGUCCAUUUCUAGAACCUUAACCCUAUCUGAGACCAAAUAGAUUUGUAUAUAAGCCUUUUUUAUAUAUUUCAUGAUUAGUGUACACUAAGAGACUUUUCUUAUUCAUGGUUUUCUGAUUUGUUCAAACAUAAGCCACAUUUAUGCAAAUGGUGUACAUAAGAAAAACAUUAGUAGUGUAAGAACUUCUCAUUUAUCAUCAUUUAAAGGCUGUGUUCUAUUUCAACAGCACAAAAUAUUGAAUACAACUACCCUUUUUUAAUGUACAAUUAAGACUAUGACUGCAAAGAACAAUUAUCAGUUAUUCUUAAGUGUGUUGAUUUUCUUCUCAACUCUGCAUUUGUAUUUGAAAAUUGCUUAGUUCAGAGUAAUACUAGCCAUUUCAGCAGAUAUUACUUCAUGGAAAUAACCUGUCACACCAGUUUAAUUAAAAUAAAAAGCCUUGCCACUUUGGACUUAA